GAUGAACGCUGGCGGCGUGCCUAAUACAUGCAAGUCGAGCGAACAGAUAAUUAUCUUUCUCCUUUGACGUUAGCGGCGGACGGGUGAGUAACACGUUGGUAACCUACCUAUAAUACUGUGAUAACUUCGUGAAACCGGAGCUAAUACCGGAUAAUAUUUCGAACCGCAUUGUUCGAUAGUGAAAUAUGGUUUUGCUUUCACUUAUAGAUGUACCCGCGCCGUAUUAGCUAGUUGGUAAGGUAACGGCUUACCAAGGCGACGAUACGUAGCCGAACUGAGAGGGGGAACGGCCAAACGGGAAGUGAGACACGGACCAGAAGCCUACGGGAGGAAGCAGUAGGGAAGAUGACGCAAUGGGCGAAAGCAUGACGGAGCAAAGCCGCGUGAGUGAUGAAGGACUUCGGAGCGUAAAACUCUGUUAUUAGGGAAGAAAAAAAGUGUAAGUAAAUGUGCACGUAAUGACGGUAACUAAAAAGAAAGCAACGGCUAACUACGUG
This 497-nucleotide ribosomal RNA is filed under the name uncultured bacterium. RNAcentral's name for it is "partial 16S ribosomal RNA". It matches the Rfam family "Bacterial small subunit ribosomal RNA", at positions 28 to 507 of the family's 1533-position model. The record is from RNAcentral.